CGCAUCUGUGCAUGCAGCAUAUCAAUAGCGGAGGAAAAGAAACUAACAAGGAUUCCCCUAGUAACGGCGAGUGAAGCGGGAAGAGCUCAAAUUUGAAAUCUUAAAGGGUUUCCCUUUACGAAUUGUAGUUUAAAGAAGUGUUUUCUGUUGAGGUUUUGGUAAAAGUUCUUUGGAAUAGGACAUCAUAGAGGGUGAGAAUCCCGUAUUUGACCUUUACUUUCAACUUUGUGAUACACUUUCAAAGAGUCGGAUUGUUUGGGAAUGCAGUCCAAAAUGGGUGGUAAAUUUCAUCUAAAGCUAAAUAUUGGCGAGAGACCGAUAGCGAACAAGGUACCGUGAGGGAAAGAUGAAAAGAACUUUGAAAAGAGAGUUAAACAGUACGUGAAAUUGUCAAAAGGGAAGCGUUUGACACCAGUGUUGUUUUUCUGAAAAUCAAUUAAAGAACUGUUUAUAGCUAAGCUGUUUAGACUUUAUCAGCUAACUGUUUAGUUUUGAGCUUUUCUUUAAUGCACUUUUCAGUUAACAAGUCAACGAUCAAUUUCUUUUGCUGUAAAAAAGCUUGAGGAAGGUGGCUUGAGAUUCGUCUUAAGUGUUUAUAGCCUCUUGCCUAUGCAGUCGGAGAGAUUGAGGUCUGCAGCGUAGAUCCUUCGGGGCUAAAUGCAUUUGUGCUAAGUUAUAGCAUUUUAUAGACAACUUGUUGACUAUGAUUUGUCUUGUAGCUUACUCGCUUAUGUUAUUUUACCUACGCUUAGGAUGUUGAGCGCAUGUCUCUCUCU
This 776-nucleotide ribosomal RNA is filed under the name uncultured Neocallimastigales. Its description in RNAcentral is "partial large subunit ribosomal RNA". It matches the Rfam family "Eukaryotic large subunit ribosomal RNA", at positions 26 to 616 of the family's 3401-position model. Lineage: Eukaryota; Fungi; Neocallimastigomycota; Neocallimastigomycetes; Neocallimastigales. The record is from RNAcentral.